CGCCUGUAGCAAUACAGGUGGCGCACGGCGCACGGGUGCGUAACACGUGGGCAAUCUGCCCUCCGAUGGGGAAUAACCCCGCGAAAGCGGGGCUAAUUCCGCAUAACAUUCCUUGGACUCCGGUUCGAGGAUUCAAAGGCGUAAGUCGUCGGAGGAGGAGCCCGCGCACGAUUAGCUAGUUGGUAGGGUAACGGCCUACCAAGGCUUUGAUCGUUAGCUGGUCUGAGAGGAUGGCCAGCCACACUGGAACUGAGACACGGUCCAGACUCCUACGGGAGGCAGCAGUGGGGAAUCUUGCACAAUGGGCGAAAGCCUGAUGCAGCGACGCCGCGUGGGGGAUGAAGCUUCUCGGA
Molecule: ribosomal RNA, 353 nt
Filed under: uncultured bacterium
Lineage: Bacteria
Description: bacterial SSU rRNA
Rfam family: Bacterial small subunit ribosomal RNA
Source: RNAcentral